GAUGAAGAACGUAGCGAAAUGCGAUAAGUAAUGUGAUUUGCAGAAUUCAGUGAAUCAUCGAAUCUUUGAACGCACCUUGCACCCUUUGGCAUUCCGAAGGGUAUGCUCGUUUGAGUGUCAUUGUACUCUCACACUCUCCGAUCCUAUGGAUUCGGGGAGCGGUGGACUUGGGUGUUGCUGCCUUUCCUUGUGGCUCACCUCAAAUGUGUCAGUGCACCUCUUGGUUGGACAUAGUACGGCGUGAUAAGUGUCUUCGCCGGCACCUCGCAAGAGGGUGGCCGAUCGGGAGCUCUGUGCUUUCAAACCGUCUUCGGACAAUUUCUGACAACUUGACCUCAAAUCGAGUAGGACUACCCGCUGAACUUAAGCAUAUCAAUAAGCGGAGGA
RNAcentral lists this unclassified non-coding RNA (387 nucleotides) under soil metagenome. Its description in RNAcentral is "partial contains 5.8S ribosomal RNA, internal transcribed spacer 2, and large subunit ribosomal RNA". The stretch from base 1 to 120 matches the Rfam family "5.8S ribosomal RNA", at positions 35 to 154 of the family's 154-position model. The record is from RNAcentral.